GGACCAUUAUUUUGGGACGGAGG
RNAcentral lists this microRNA (23 nucleotides) under Corchorus olitorius. RNAcentral describes it as "hvu-miR504". Lineage: Eukaryota; Viridiplantae; Streptophyta; Magnoliopsida; Malvales; Malvaceae. The record is from RNAcentral.